GGCUUUUCUGGGAGGUGGGGGAAGGGAUAGGGCAGCCCCUCUGUCCCUUCCCCCACCUCCCGCAAAAGCC
RNAcentral lists this microRNA precursor (70 nucleotides) under Podarcis lilfordi (Lilford's wall lizard). Lineage: Eukaryota; Metazoa; Chordata; Lepidosauria; Squamata; Lacertidae. The record is from RNAcentral.